AGUGAACGCUGGCGGUAGGCCUAACACAUGCAAGUCGAACGGCAGCACAGGAGAGCUUGCUCUCUGGGUGGCGAGUGGCGGACGGGUGAGGAAUACAUCGGAAUCUACUCUGUCGUGGGGGAUAACGUAGGGAAACUUACGCUAAUACCGCAUACGACCUACGGGUGAAAGCAGGGGACCUUCGGGCCUUGCGCGAUUGAAUGAGCCGAUGUCGGAUUAGCUAGUUGGCGGGGUAAAGGCCCACCAAGGCGACGAUCCGUAGCUGGUCUGAGAGGAUGAUCAGCCACACUGGAACGGAGACACGGUCCAGACUCCUACGGGAGGCAGCAGUGGGGAAUAUUGGACAAUGGGCGCAAGCCUGAUCCAGCCAUACCGCGUGGGUGAAGAAGGCCUUCGGGUUGUAAUGCCCUUUUGUUGGGAAAGAAAUCCAUCUGGUUAAUACCCGGAUGGGAUGACGGUACCCAAAGAAUAAGCACCGGCUAACUUCGUGCCAGCCGCCGCGGUAA
RNAcentral lists this ribosomal RNA (506 nucleotides) under uncultured bacterium. Its description in RNAcentral is "partial 16S ribosomal RNA". It matches the Rfam family "Bacterial small subunit ribosomal RNA", at positions 29 to 523 of the family's 1533-position model. The record is from RNAcentral.